AGCGGGGUAGAGGAAUUGAUCAAUUCAUCAGGCUCAUGACCUGAAGAUUGCAGAUUCAAGUCCUUUUCCCGCCU
Molecule: transfer RNA, 74 nt
Filed under: Datura stramonium (jimsonweed)
Lineage: Eukaryota; Viridiplantae; Streptophyta; Magnoliopsida; Solanales; Solanaceae
Description: tRNA-Met
Rfam family: tRNA
About the family: Transfer RNA (tRNA) molecules are approximately 80 nucleotides in length. Their secondary structure includes four short double-helical elements and three loops (D, anti-codon, and T loops).
Source: RNAcentral